RNAcentral lists this long non-coding RNA (16493 nucleotides) under Coffea arabica (coffee). RNAcentral describes it as "long non-coding RNA (CARA_LNC002091)". The record is from RNAcentral. Lineage: Eukaryota; Viridiplantae; Streptophyta; Magnoliopsida; Gentianales; Rubiaceae.
UUUUUUUUUUUUUUUUUUGGUUUGCAGUAUUUCCUGGUCCAACAAUUAAUGUUAUUGGUGGUUGUAUACUGGCUAUAUACACUAGCAUACAAACAUGACUUGCAUUCGCACUAUGCUGCAUUUUUUUUUUUAUGGAUAGAAUAGAAGAGUGGAAGAAAAUAAAUGUGAAGAAAAAAAAAAAAGAAUCCAGUCAAUGGUAUUGAAAGUGCUUUGGAAAGUAUGUAGUAAUCAAAGACCAUUUCCAUUAAGAGCACAAAAGUAUAGAAUGUGCUUUUGACCAAUAAUGGUGUUGCAUGUAACACAUUUUCACUUAGAAGGUCCAUUUUCUUAUUCUUCUCUAAUUUUUUUUUUAAAUAAAUUUUUCCAUCUCUCCAACUGCAUUAUUUCCCAAGUACACGUUAUUGAGGAUGUAUGUUGGACGUUGGACGAUGGCAUUAAAUUGGUAGUGAAAGAUGUAGGGUAUGCUUGUGUUCAUUUGUCCAAUUUUCCUUCUUCUUUCUUCUGUACUUUUUUUCUAUUUUCUCACGACGAAACACUUUCUUGGUCAAAAUAGUGUGGUUACUAUAAAGACUGAAGAGGAGGGUAGAAGGGAAUGUGGUUGUUUGUGAUUUAUUUCUCCAUUUUGUUUUCCCUCCUUCCCCACGAAUUAAAGUGGCAAUCGUCAUGGCAAUUACCUAAUUUUUUUCAAAAAAAAAAAUAAGUGAUAAUUGUUCUGAUAUUUUCCAGUUCAGUGGCUGAUGGGUCCAGUAGAUUAACUCUACAGGCCGCUUCGAGGAAACCAUACAUUGGUUAUCUGAGGGAUGUGGAGAAGCUCAGUAGCCCAAUUAAUUGUUGGAAGCUAGGGCCCAACAAAAUGGUCAGCCAUCAGAGGGGCUUGGGGGGGAGCAAAUUAGUCAAUAGUAUGUAGCAAGACCAGCCUCUGUUACCGUGUUUGGCAAAAAAAAAAAAAAAAAAAAGUAAUAAGACCAGCCCCGCGAGUAGUCCGACUGGUUGCCUCGCUGUGUAUCCUUGAGGUAAGGCUCUAUACAUUUUUAGAAAAUUAGUCUGCACACCAGAACUAGGGGAUUAUAUUAUUGAGCACCCGUUAAGAGUGUUUAUUUUUUGCGAGAGGGUAGUCAAUUUGGGAAACUAUCUAAAUAUAGAGAUGGAAUAGAUGUGAAUUUAGGUAUAAUUUAGAUGUGUUGACGAGUGUUUAUUAGUCAUUCAUUAUGACAAAAAAAUUUCUAUAUUGUUUAAAGUGUUGGUUAACGAGUGCUCUUAAUGAGAGGUUUCAAGUGUUAAUUUUUUACAAAAGUAAAAUUGAUUUGAGAAAAUAUUGAAAUACAAAUGGACCAGUAAAUGUAAGUAUGUGUAUUCCCAUUAUAAAUUAAGUGUAAUUUAGAUAUAGUAUAAGUAACCGGAGGAAUUCAAGGACGUCAAUAUAUUCGAGUGCUUCAAGCAAUAUUCUCUCAUCAUAUCCACUAUCACCAAAAAUAUAUAUAUAUAUAUAUAUAAUAAGGAUCUGAUCUGUGUCAACUAAAAGAAAAGCUUUAACAAACUUCUCCAUAAUCAAGAUGAAUGGGAUUUGCUAUGAUGAUUUAGAGAGCUGAUUUAUAAUAAAGCAUGGUAGAGUGGAUUCUCGCCAACAACUUUACUACAACUCUAAUUGAUCAAAAGAAUUAAGAGGGUCCAUCUAUUUAACUUUCAAGUUUAGAAUGUGCAUAAAGAAAGAGGGCUCUGAUUAAUGAAAAUGCAAAGCUAAUGAUGAGAUUAGCACUGAGAGUAUAUGCAUUAGUAGCAAUCUUAAUUGCAGUUAGCCUUUAACACCAAGAGAUGCAAAAAUUGAGACCCACCAUAUCACAAUCCCCCUAUUGGAAUCAUAAUUCCCCAUUCACGAGGCAGGGCCAUGGAUCAAUACCAAAUAUAUUUUGUGAGACCAAAUAGUUCUCGAGCCAAAUUCCACCCUUGCAUAAUUUCUGGUCCAAUCAUGUAUUAAUUCAAUUCAUAGUAUGUGAGUUACACAUGUGAAUAUAGGGCGGCAUCAAGCUUCCUAUUUCUUUUCCUUGAUGGAGUUUGAAGUCCUGGAAAGUUUGCAUAAAAUAAGAAAAAUAUGUGCAUUGUAGAGUAAAUUAGUUCUACAAGAAAGGUAGAAGUGGAUCUAAGACGUUCCUUUUACAGUUUUUCUUUCUUUGUGCUCGCAAGCUAAGAUAUGUUCCUAAAAAACACAACAGCAAGCCGCAUAAUGCACCUUUUGCUAGGUUUCUUGUUUUAAAUAGCACCAAGCUGCUAAACUAUCAGUAUGUUGGCCUGGAAAAAGUGGUGCCAUUCUGGCAAUGGAUAUUCCUCCCAACCAAGAGAUUUAGACAUAGCAAUAAACUAUGUAAAGGCAGAAAAACAUAAAGGCUAAAGAAAGAAACCUGUCCAACAGCAAAGUGAUCUUUAGUUAAACUACAAUUUUCUCAUCAAGCCACGAACAAGAAAACAGGAACAGCAAUGCAGGUUGUACUAGGCACUUUUAUGUGGUUCAUCUGAUUCCUGAUUAAUCAAAGAAACAAGUCUUGAGCUUAAAGUAAUGCAAGUGAAGUGGCCGUGCCAAUUUAGUAUUCACACAUUGGACGUCUCAGUAAGAGUUCAAAAAUGUGUUGUUCUCCAAAGCUUCUAGCGAUUAGCAUGUGCAGUUCAUCAUGAUCAUCAUCAUAAUGAUGGUAUGGUUUUAUUCAACUUUGUGAUUUGGAAUCGUUAUGAUUAAUGAACCAGCGUUGGAAAGACUUGCUACCAAAAUGCAUAAUUGGCUAUCAAGUGCCUAUUUGAGAGUACUGUUCUAUUGCAGGAAUCAAGCAGUUGAACAUGAAAAGAGAGAUGGGGAACCAAAAUGCAUCAGGAAUAAAAGGCAUGUUUGUAUCAGAUGCUCAAGUCUGUAGUUUCUUAUGUUUGAACUUAUAUGUGUAGUUGAUGACCAUGUCUAAUUUAUAUCUAUCUGCUGUAGAAGAGGAGAAAGCAACAGUUAAAGUUCCGCAAGAACCCCAGGAAGCAGCUCGCGAAGACGAAAUGAAAGGAGAAAACCACAUAAUUCCUGAAGUUGACACUAAGGAUUUCCAGGAGAAAACAGAAUCUUCUGAUGAUUUCUCGGUUACUACAGAUUCUAAUGCUGAACGGCAUGAGUCAGAUGAAAAAGGUUAAUGCUUCCCCUUAUAACUCUAAACAUAUAAUUUUUAUCUAGUACUUAUGCUUCCCGGAUUCAACUACAGUAAGUUGAAAACAUGUAGUUUUCAUGUUAGAGCAAGGAAACAAAAAGUCUGAUCAGCCUCCUCCUCCAUAUCCUGAAGCUGCAAAAGAAUCAGAUCAUUUAGUCAGUCAGGAGAAUUAUGUCGAUGAAGCUGAUUCAGCCUAUGAGGCAAACCAUGAGAAACCACUAGAGUCGAACCUGGGCGAGAUUACGCCCAUAAAUGGCAAGAUUGAGAGUCAUGAAAACGGCAUCAUUCCAAGAGGUCAGUUCCUAAUACUUCUCUUAUAAGAAGGCACAUCAUUUAUGAAGUUAGAUUACGAUCUCAUCAAGAUCACCUUGUGUAGUAUUAUUAACAGCUUAAUAUACAAAUAUAGAAGAGUUUCAGGGAGACGAGAUAUUUUCCAUCUUAAAAUUUUUUCUUCAUUUGCAUGCCAGAAACCGAUGCACAGAAGGUUGAGAUCACUAACUCAAAUUCCAACAUAGAGAGCACUUUUCAAGAUUCAAAAACUGUUAAUGAUACCACCACACCGCUAGAAGAGCAUCAGAGUUCAUCAUCCCAUCAGAUUGAGGAAGUCAUAAAACUGAGUGUCACAUGUCACGUAGAGGAGAAAAAACAUGAUUGCAGUGAGAUCCAUAGGGAAGGAAAUAGGGACGAUUUGAUGCUAGAGGAGUCUCCUGAUGUAGAAGAUAAAUCAUUGGAAAUGAACAUUUGCAUAGAAGAAAGUGUCAGCAAGGCUAUAGAGGAAAAUGUUCAGCAUGGUCAUAGAAAUAAUGGUGAUAUUCAACUACCCCUGAAAGAUAAUUUGAACGACGUUUUAAGUUCACCAACUGAAACAGUUCCAGAAGUCAGUCGAAUAGGUCCUUCAUCUGAAACUCCUGAUCCAAAAAAGAAGCAUAUUGUCCUUGCUGAAGAGAUCAAUUUGACCAGUGAUGGAUCAGAAAAUCCAGAGAAAGAGCCUGACUCUGGUCGUGCUCAUUUUUCUGAUCAGAUGGCCUUGAUGGAUGAUGCCACUCCAGGAAUGAUUGAGCAAGAAGCUUGUAGCAAGGAGAAUGGAGAGGAAAAUACGGUUAAAAUGAGUUCUAGCCCUGAUUUGGACAUGGUUAAUCAGAAUAAGGGGACCAAAGUGAUUUAUACUGCUGCAGAACAAGAACCAGAAGAAUGCAGGGAUAAAAAGGUGGUCCUUGUGGUGCCUAAAACGAUUUCAGUGUCAAAUGGAUUGAGGUCUAUGGAUAAGUAUGAUGAAGGAGAGAAGGUAACAGAGAAUCUGUUAGUUGAAGAAACAGAAAAAAGAAACGAUGACUCGACUUCAACAGGAAAUGGCAGACAUAAUGCAGGGGCAGCAGAGGAGUCUUUGUCCAGCUUCGAGUCAUCUGAAGGGGAAAACAUUCCAGUUUCUCUAACGUCAACAUUCAACUUGGAAAAUGAUCUGCCUGCAGAUUCUCCCACUUCAUCAUUUAAUCAACAAUGGGACAAUGGAUUAUGCUCCAAGGCUGCAGAAGAUUGGAACAAAUGCACUGUCAACUUGAAACAAUGCAGCAGCUUUGAUGUCUUUAUUGCUGAAGUAUCUACUUCCAAUGCACAAAAAGCAUCCAUCCAAGCUCUUAAUCCCAGCAGUGCACUAGAAAAGGUAAACCAUGUCCAAGAACUUGAACAGAAUGUUCAAGCAAACUCAGUGACAGAAGGAGAUUACAAGCAACACUUGAUAAGCGAAACAUCUUCACUGCCAAGUUCAAAAGCACAAGAAAAUGCAGCAAGGGUAAGCAUUGAAUCAAAUCCAGAUCAUCCAGUUGCCCGAGUUAAGCAGAGAAAGUCCCCCAGCUUUGAAUUUGGCAUCCCAAUUGAUGCAAGAUCCGAAGAAUCUGAUCAAACUCCUCUACUGGUUCGCGACAAGUCUCUAGCCAGAAGCUUCUCAGGCCAUGCUAACGUAAGAUUCCAAAAUUCAAUGGUCCCAACUGAUUAUGGUCGAAAGUCAUUAGACUAUGAGCCAGUAGCAGUGGAAGAAAAGACCAUUAGAAUGGAAAGAAGCGAUUCAGACAUCUCGAGAGAUUUAUUCACCAGCUUAUUGAGGAAGGAUGAAAAGCCAACUGUUGAGCUUGCACCAGAGAAAAAAGAGAGCCAUAUUGCUGAUGACAAGGCAUUGGAAUCGCCAUCAUCUGAGGAACUUGCAUUGACUUCAAUCAAAACAAGUGGAAAACGCAGGCCAAGAUCUUCCCUUUUGAGUGCCUGCAUAUGCUGUACAGCAGCUAACAACUGAGGGCCAAGAAGAAACAUGCAUUUCCCUUCUACAUUUCUAUUUUUCAUGGUUGUUAUCUUGUUUAAUCUUAUCAUUUUUCCUUUUUUCAUUUAAUUUUUUUGCAAAACACUGUGAUAUUGAUUCCAUAGAUUGUUUUGUACCAUUUAAAAGAUGAUUUUGAGAGAUUGAAAGAAGUGAGAAAGGAAUAUGUCUUUGAGGAAGAAAGAGCGAAAUUGUGGAAAAAAGAAAAAUUGAAAGAAGUUCUUAGUGCCAUGGCUAUCAAUCUUCGUUUUGUUCUUUUUUUUUUGGGUAAAUUACAUUUUACCCCCCUGUGGUUUACCCUUUUUUUACAUAACCCCCUUGUGGUUUCAAAAGCUAUACAUAACCCCCUCAUGGUUUGGAUUAAAGUGUCAAAGUAAUGGAAAUAAUCACUCGUAACGGAAUUUCUAAAAAUGUCGAAAUUACCCUUAUAAAUACAUGACACAUUAACCCCGUAUGAUUUUUAUAUUUUACCAUAUAACCCCCUUAUGGUUUAAUAUUUUACCAUAUAACCCCCUUAUGAUUUUCAAAAUAUACACAUAACCCCCCUUGGUUAAUACAUAAAUUUCAACCCUGCAUAAGGGUAUUUUUGACAUUUUAGGUGACGCCGUUACGAGUAACUAUUUCCGUUACUUUGACACUUUAAUCCAAACCAUAAGGGGGUUAUGUAUAGCUUUUGAAAUCAUAGGGGGGUUAUGUGAAAAAAUGCUAAACCACAAGGGGGUAAAGUGAAAUUUGCCCUUUUUUUUUAUAUAGCUUUUGAAUAAAUUUAUUAUUCGUGUUGAUUGUAGUUCUGGAUUCCGAUUUCACAUGUAAACUUCAAGAAUCUGAGGAUAAGAGUACUAUUAUUGUUUGGAUUUGUUGCCAUUGCUUUUUCAGAUCGUGAAUUCUAUUUGCUCCUUUGGAGAUAAUCGCUUUUUUCGUGUCAAAAGCCUCAACCUCCAAAUGUAAACUGUUCACGCCUAUGAAGAACUGGCUAGUGCUGGAUUUUGGCGAAGGUGGUGCAGCAGCCCCUAAAUUAUGAAAAAAUAUAUCAUGUCUAUUUUAGAUCCUUUAGAAACUGCAGAAAAUUAUUACUUCCUCAUGUACAACUCACCCCCACACCCAAAAAAAAAAAAAACUUCAAAACAAAUCAUUUUUAGUAUUAAAAACUAUACCUUAUACAAUCAACGAUUGGCCUAUAAUUUUUGUUUUGCGUCCUAACUUUAGGGCUUUUUCUCGGUUGAUUAUUUUAAUUGAUUAUAGAUUUUGAUUUUCGAUAAUCAGUUUUGUGAUAUUCUCAGUUACUUUUGUAUUCUGAUUAUAGAUUUUUUAAUGAUAAAAAAAUAAAAUCUAUAAUCAAUUUCUGUAAUCAGAUUUUGUAAAAUCUAAAACAAUCGAGAACAAAGUCUUAAUUACUUUCUACUUCAUUCUGUGUCUAAAAAGACAUAGAGAUGAGCAGACAUAAAUGGUGCAAAACAAGAAUUUCUAGUAAUUUUGUUUUGAUUCAAAUUGCAUGAAAGCUUCCUUCUAUUUUUGACAAAAAUGGUUUCGAUCAUGCAAUUGUGCAAUAAUUUCCUUGGUAAUUUGUCCUUCACAAACCAUAAUAAAAGUUCUUCUUGGAUGAGUAUAUGAUGUGUACUAGCAUAGUUGAGCAAUACACAAGAGAUAAUACAAAAUUUUUGUUUUUAGGUGGGAUUUUCUCCAUAAAAUGUUUGGCAAUUGGGUGGGGACUGGGGAACACGACACCGACUCCUGUAACUCAACGAUGAUCAGUUUGCUUACGUAAAACCCACGCUAGAGUCGGUGAUCACCUACCUUGUGAUUUGUGGACUGAUUCAGCAUUUUGAAUAUCUUUUGCCCCUCAAAUGCAAUAUUAAUUUAUGACCUUGAAAUAUUGACAGGGAAAUUCUGGUUCCCCCAGGUCAUCGCUUAACUGUGUCUGAUGAAGACUCCUUAAUUUAGCUAUUUAAUCCUUUUAAAAAUACAAUAUUCUAGAAGCAUGAUCAAAUUAAAGUCUAGGUAAUUGUAAUUGACCAAAUUUAAGGCACAGAGUGGUUUUUUUUUUUUCAUUUUCUUUUCUUUCUUUUAACUGCUACUGUAAUAUAUGGUAUGUGGGAAUUGAAUUAUUAAAAUUUUUUCCCUACUUACGCCCUUAAUGGCUUGAGUUGAUGCUUUGACCUCUCAGUUAAGAACCUAUAGACUAUGUUUGGUAAUUAAAAUUAUUGCUGCCACAUUUUGCACUUCUCAAAUAGAGAUGUCUCCUUUGUACUUUUGGGUACUAAUAUUUUUUUCCCCUUUCUUCCCUGGCAAUCGAUGAAAUACCUUACAAUCUUUGGCCAUGACACACUUACUAACUUAGAGCUAAUUUAGGGAGUUAUAUCUGAUUAUUGAUUCCAUUGUUUUUUUAAAACUUAGAUGGCCAAUAGCCAAUCAUAAAAGCUUCAGACGUCUAGAUAAAUCUUAUCAUCCAACUACUUUGAUCAUUUCUUUUAGGAUUAAUCUUUCUUACACCGACAAUCUAUAUACACUAUCACCGUUGAAUUCGAGAUAGUGAAAUUCAAUUUCUACACAUAUGUCAUGAAUUCAACAGUGAUAACGUAUACACUGUCGGUGUAUAUAAGAUUUACUCUUUUUUUAUUAAAAAAAAGUACAGAUGAAUUCAACUCCGAUCACCAUUAUGAAAGAGGGCAUUACUUCGAUCAUUGCUUUGCUUGUUCUCUAGUAAGUGAGGCAACAAAAUUUCAUUUGCAUUUUAAUCUGGAAAAGACCUUCGAGUAGUAGGUCCAACCCAUAUUAGGCUUCACUUGAGAAGUUAAAUAAACUAUAAACGACUAAGAAAUGAGGCAGUUACAUAUGCAGCUUUUGGAUAGGGAAGAAUAGGGGUUAGAUUCUCAGUCAAUGCCUCCAGAAGAGGUCAACUGAAAUUUCAAAGCAACAAACCUUCAACAACCAGUAUUUGGUGAUGAAAAUAACAGGUAUGACUAAAUUAAAGUUGACCUAUAAGAAAGCAAAGAAUUAAAGGGCAAUAAGCACGCAAAGAAUACGUAUAAUUUUUUCAAAGAGUUUGCGGUGUAAGAGAAAUUUUUAUUCUUCAGCUCUAAUUAUUACACAAUGAUAUAGUUUAUGAAACAAAAGUAUUCCCUCCGUCACAUUGUUAAUGUCAUAUUUGCACUUUAUUGAUAUUUCAAAAUAAGAGUCACCAUUUCAAAUUUAACACAUACUUUUUAAUCUUGCCAUUUGAAAAAACAACUUUUUAAAAUCUCAAUGCACAUUAAACAAGAAAAUAUUUUGAAUCUAAAGGAUAUAUAUAUAUAUAUAUAUAUAUAUAUAUAUAUAUAUAUGUGUGUGUGUAAAUUCAUCAAUAUCGCCUCAUCUAAACAUAAUGAUUACUAUAUCUUCAUAAAAAAUUAGAUUCCUAAAAAAAACGACUCUAAUAUUGGGAUGGAAGGAGUAUAUACUAAUCAUGAAUGAUAAAACAAAAAAGGUUAUUCUUGUUUUUAUUGUUAAAUUCGUGAUUUAAGCUCCUUUAUUUCCCUGUCAGUAUUGGAUAGUAUCAUCCAAGUCUUCAAUGACCAAGAACAAAAACGCGUAUGACUGUACUACUACACAUCGGUCCAUGAACUGCAAAAUGUUUGGGAGUCGAGGGAGAAAACCAACAAUUAAUACAGUGAUACUUUUCUUCUUAAUAGUUAAGGAGCCUAAAUCUACCACAAAAUAGUCAACUUUGUUGGGGUUAGUAGUGAACCAUACAAGAAAUUGCAAUAUGAAUUUACGACAAUGGUAGUGGUUCCAAAAAUAAGAGAUGACUUGUUAUAUUUUCCAUUUCAUUUUUGAUAUAUAGCAGAGUUGUGUUUGGAUUGCAUUUUCCAUCAUUUUUCAUGGAAAAAUUACUGUAACGAUUUGAUGUAUGUGAGGGAAAAAGGUAAUAGGAAAAUGGGAUCACGGAAAACUACGUAAUUUUCCGACGGAAAACAGCAAUCCAAACAAGGCCGAUCAUCAAGAAAAUAGUCAAUAAAAUCGAUGUUUUGUCUUUAAUUCAAAUGAAUUACUACUAAUUCAGAAGCAAGUUAUGGUGUAAUGGAACCAUUAGGGUCCGUCCACUGAUCAAACAAGGGUUCUUAGAGUUCUUUCCACUAUCAGAGUUAGGGUUUGAGUGCUAGUUGAAGGUUGAAAGAGCAUGAAAAGGAGUUGGAGAAUAAAAAAAAAUUAUGAUGUAAUGGAACGAAAUGUGUCUUUUUUUUUUUUUCAAGUUUUGACUGUGAUAUAAGACUACCUGGAAUAGUAGUAUUUGAGCAUUGGAGCCUGAAUUGAAAGGAGAAAACUCGUGAAGAAUUGGCUUGGAUCACAAAUGAAAGAAUACAAUAAAUACUUUUUUGUUUCCUUCAAGAAGAUGAAAGAAUCCAAUACAUAGUUAAUUAAAUUGGAUUACAAUCACCCUAUACUAAGUUAACAAUUGACCAAACCAUUGAAAGAAAUAGAUUUUAAGAAUACAAAUUAGUAAAAGAGAUUAAUCUGAAUGGAUCACAAUCAAUGAAAAUCAAGUCCUAGCAAUUAUCCAACGGUCGUCAUCAUCUUAACAAAUUCAUCAUAAUUGACUUGACCAUCACCAUCCAAAUCAGCCUCUCUGAUCAUCUGCUCCACCUCUUCAUCAGUCAGUUUCUCCCCUAGAUUGAUCAUCACGUGCCUCAGCUGCAUGGGAUCAAAGAGUUUUCUUUUUUGUUAUUGCUUUCCUUCAGACUCCACAAUAAUCACUAAACUAUUGGGCAUGAAAAAGAAAGUCAAAAAGGUGUAUUCCUUCUUGGGUGAAGUUCAUUGCAUAAGACAUUUCUUGGUAUAUAUUAAUAUAACUGAGAUGCCCCAGUAAGCUAGAUGAAACAACUGUAAAACCAUGCUAAUUUAUUAACUAAUUUGAAACUUUGAAGCAUUGACAGAUCAAUUUCCAUGUGAACUACUCGCUGUACCAUUUUAGCGCUCGCAUGGAACCACAUUCGUUUUAUACACAGCAAGAAUGAUUCGGAAGUUUCAAAAAAAAAAAAAAAAAAAGAAUGAUUCAAAAAGGGAACAUUUCCCAACAAAUUUUUACGUUUUUUGUGAGUAUAUUAUCCUAUCACCUUUUUAUCUCAUAUACAUUGAAUUGUUACAUUAUUUUUUUUUCUAUAGAAACUUCAAAAACUAAUAAAUGUCCAAACGGGUUCUUUAAGGCAGUAUGCCAGACUUUUCUAUCUUUUGGAAAGUCACCAUAUUUUGAUUUACUUGACCAUUCAUACUAGCCACGACUUAUUUACUUUGUCUUUUCAACAUUUGAAGUGAAACAGUUAUCAUGGCCUGCAACACUCCUAAAAGUAUUCCUGCCUGAUCAAGAACAGAGCAAAGUACCAAAACUCAUUAUAUGUAUAUUCAUGGUUGUGUAAAUUCCUCCCCCCCCCCCCCCCAAACAAACCACCAAAAAAAGAACUUGAUAAAAGAAUGCACCAAAUAAGGGUUUACAUGUCAGUUCGAUUCAAAAGGAGUGUGAAACAACGUUUUUUAUUUAUUUAUUUAUGUUACUUUCUGCAAUUUCAAGACAAAAGCAAUUGGUAUGGGGACUAUCGGCCAGCUCUUACCUCACUGGCUGAAAUGUAACCAUUUUGGUCUUUGUCAAACACUUUAAAAGCCUCUUUAAGCUCCUCCUCUGCAUCGGUUUCCUGUUUCAGCACCCAGAAAAAAAAAUGAUAAGAAUACCAUCGUGAGUGAUCAUACAUCAUUGUUAUUAGUAUAUUUACUAUUGUGAUCAUGUUAUGUGUGUAUAUAGUAUAUAUGGACAUCAACUUUUGUACCUUAAUCUUUUUGGCCAUGAGGUUCAAGAAUUCCGCAAACUCAAUGGUUCCAUUUCCAUCAGCAUCAACUUCACUAAUCAUGUCCUGCAGUUCUUCCUCACUUGGAUUUUGAUCCAGUGACCUUAUCACAGUGGCCAAUUCUUCAAUGGUGAUGCAACCUGUUGUGAUAUUAGUCAUCAAAAUCACAUCGUCAGUACAAAAUGAUCAAUUCCUUUUGUCAUUCAUUUGCUAUACAAAAAUGUUCCCGACCAGACGUGCCCUCGUGCAGAUACCCAUAUAGUAUGCCGUAUGUUUUUCGCAGAAGAGUGUUAUAAUGAGAUUGAGCAAAAGACGAAAUGAGAAAGAUGAAGAUAUAUAUAUAUAUAUAUAUAUUGUUGUAUUUAAAGAAAGAAUGGAGUAAAACGAACCAUCUCCAUCCUUAUCAAACAGACUAAAGGCUUCCUUGAACUCGACAAUCUGUUCUUGAUUGAGUACUUCUCCCAUGGUUCUCCUCCUAUUGUUUGAGUUUGGAACUUGAAAAAGCGUGUGUGAAAGAGAAGAGGUCAGGUCUACCAAACCAAAAAAAGGGAGAAAGAGAGAAGGCAAUGACUAAAGAGACAAAUUGUGAAACGAGAGAGAGAGAGCGAGAGAGAGAGAGAGGGGGCGAGAUGAGCAUAGCUCAAGCUUAGCUGGGGUUUAUGUAGGAAGAAUUCUAAUGUGACAACGCACCACUACAAUAUCCUUGCAUUGAAAUUUGCCAGAAAAUUCAAAAGUGAAAUAGUAGUAUAUUAAACAAGUAGUAGUAGUGAUAAUUAGUCAAACAUCACAGUAAUUAGACAAAUGUAAACUAGCUUUUCCCUGAGUAUUGUGUUUGGAUUGCCGAAUUAUCUCAAAUGAUAUUUCACUUGCAUCAUAAACAUAUUUUCUAAUUCAUCUUUUUAUAUUCUCAACUACUUUUUAUUUCAUAUAAAUCAUAUUAUAAAAAGUGUUAUAGUAAUUAUUUCAAAUAAUACUACUCUAUCAAAACACACUUGUUUGUGACGGGAUGGGUAAUGUAUGCGAGUAGAGGAAGGGCUAGGACUCGAUGAAAAAGACUUUCGAUAGCUGGAAAGUAAAUGAUGUCAAUCAAUUCAAAAAGUUCUUUCCACACCAAAGAACAGACUACGGUUCAAAAUGAGAAUAUGACUUUGAAUAAUUUGGUGCUAUAUUCCUGGAUGAGAUUUUGUCUCGGAAACCCAUUUGACAAAUAAGUUUUUUUUUUUUUAUGUUUAUCUAAAAUUUUAGUAUAAUUUAUUAUAAAAUUUGUAAAAACAAUUUUUUGAGGCUAGUAAAAACUUUUCUUUAAGAAAAAAAAACUUUCCUUGUUUCCUUUUGUUUUUACUUUUUUCUUUCUUUUUCUUUUUCCCUUUCUUUCCUCUUCUCUUCUUCUCCCCCCAUUGGCCAACCAUCGUCACCAACACCUCCACAGGCAAUCAGCGCCCGCGAUCCUUUUUUCUGUUUCUCUCUCUCUCUCUCUGUCCAAAUCUGAUCGUGACGGCGGAGAUGGUGGUGGAUUGAGGAGGGGGGAAGGAAUAAGAAUAAAGGAAGGAAGGUAAUUUGUUUGUGUCUUUUUUAGUAUUUUAAAGUGUAUUUUUGAAAUUUUUAAGAAAUUUUUUUAGAUUACUAUAAUUAAGUUGUUUAAAAAUUUGUAGAAAAAAUUUGAUAAAAAAAACUCCUUUGCCAAACCGGCCCACAAAUACCCAAACAAAAAAAAAAAGAAAAAAAUCUGGUUAUGAAAAGAAUUAUUAAAAAAACUUUUCUUGAACAUUUUCUAACAAUUUUUUUUAUUUUAAUUCAUAUAUAUACAUCACAUCACAAAAUUAUUACAGUAAACUAAUUAUAUAUAUAUAUAUAUUCCAAACUACAUGUAACAAAAUAAUUAAUCAGCUUGACUGACCCUGGUUGACCCUUCAAAUCUUAGACGAUUUGGUUCGAUGUAAUGUAUCUGUUCACAUUGUGUACUAAUUCCAUGUAUGGAUAAAAUUCGUAUAUUAGGUUAAUCUUGUGAGAAAUGGGAAUUUUGCAUAAGAUAAUUUUGGCCAGCUGUUUUGGUUCAAUACUGAGGGGACAAAGAGCAUUCAAAGAGAAGACCAGUGAGCGUAUGGCCGUAUUGGGAGGUGUGGGCUCUGCACUGUGCUUAGCAUUGAAAAAUUUUCACCCACAGGUCGAGCUGCAUUACUUUCACCAGGCUUACACUACUGAUUCAACACAAUUUUUACACCUGAUUUUAUUUGAUUAAUUUUGAGCCACUAACCUAUGGUGCAAUCUUUAUGGGGAUUUUCUUUUAUUUCUUAUUUUUUUGAACAUAUAUAUAUAUAGCAGAUCUGUGUUUAUCAUAAUUUUGUUAGGAAAGAAACAAAGAAAUAGAAAACACACCAUUUCAACGUUACUUAGUGAUACCCUUUUCACUCCCCACCAUAACCAAAAAGAGGGGAAAAAAAAAAAACUACGUUACUUCUUGUUCCAUAUGAGUAAGGGGGUGUUUGGUAAACGACUAUGAGAAGCAGGAACGGCUAAUGAUAUCAGGUUUGUUUGGAUAGAGUAUUAUUUGAACUAAUUACUGUAGCAGUUUUUGUGACGUGAUGUAUAUGAAAUAAAAAGGUGAUUGAAAGUAUAAAAAGGUGAGUUGGAAAUUGUAUUUAUGAUACAAACAAAAUAUUAUUUGAGAUUAAUUCACUAUCCAAACAAACUAAAUUGUUUAAAAUCACUAUAUAUAUUAUUGUUUGGUAGAUGAUUACGAUAUUUAAUAGGAAUAGAAGUGUAGAUCAUGUACUAUAUCAUUUUCCGUUUAUGAGUUGGGUUUUAAAUUGAUCUAACUUUUUAAUAGAAUGAAAUCCACACCACUUCCAAACCAAAUAUGUGGGACCUGUUUGACGCUAAGGUGGCUUAUUAAAAGCCACUUAAUUAAUAGAGUUUUUGAUCAAAGUACUUGUUAAGCGCUUAAUCACAUUAUUGUUCGGAUACAUACUUAUAUAAGUACUUCUUCUAUUUGAUAACGUGUAAUUUUGAAUUCUAAUACAUAUUUAUCUCUUCAUUCAGUUCGAACACUUGUAAUACAAUUAUUAAAGUUAUUUUUAUUAUUUAGAAUAGAAAAGUUGUUUUGAAAGUACCAAAUUUGAACUUAUACUAAAAGAACUUUACUGGGCAAAAACUUUACUGCUCAUUUCAAGAAAUGAGAUGUUCACCAAACGCGUUAAAAAUAUUCUUAUUUUAUAAAAGCACCUUUUUUUUUUUAAGUAAAAGCACCGCGAUUUCAAAUAGGACCUAAGAAAGUUAUUUGGUGCUUACAAUUAAUUUAUUAGUAAUUGUGUACAACUUCGAGCGCUGCGCUCUAACCACUUAUGUUACUAUUGCCAAUAAUACCUUAGGAUUUGUAUAUCAAAAUAAUAAAAUAAUAAUAAUACCUUAGGAUUUGUAACAUAAAUCGAUGAAUAAUUUAAUCGGAUGACAUAAAUGUUGCAUGGCUGGCAACGCGGUUUUACUUGCCAUUGGCUCACCUGCCGAGGUGCAUUUCCUUUUCCAAUCUUUAUUUCCAGAAAUCUGAUUUUUGGCUAGAACAUUUAUUUUCAAUAAACCCCCUGAUUUAAGGUAAUUUCACAAAAAGACCAGUCACAGAAUCCAGUCCUAGAUUUAAAAAAUAAUAAAUAGAUUAAUGUGUUCGAAAUACAAAAAUAUUUCAUGUAUCUAUCUACUUGCAGAUGUAUAAACAGACAUGCAUCAAAGAAUAACAUGGCAUGGUACAGUACGAACUGCUUUUUUUGUCAAAACACGAAGGGUCUGUUUGAUUACAUAAAAAAGUGCUGAAUCUGAAUUUUUUCAGACAUUCAGAUGUUUUGAUUGUUUGAUAAAUGAAAAUCUAUUUGCUGAACUUGUUAAGUAGUGCUGAACCUGUGUGUAUUUUUUUCAGCACAAGAAUCCUAAUUGAAUGCUUAAUUCUGAUAAGAAUCAGUAGAAUUACUUCAACUACCUUAUCUUAUCUACCAAAUCUACCAUUGUUUGUUAAUUACGUUCAAAAUUCUUAUCUAAUUAAACAACCUAAUAUUCUCUAUCUAACGAUUUUUAGUUUCUCUUUUCUCCCUUUUUAAUGACUUUCACAUCUUCUUCGUACUCCUCAUAUAAUAUAUUUCAUCUUUUAUAUUAAUUUAAUUUAAAAAAAAUAUUGUCAUUUUCAUACCUAACAAAUUUAAAUUAAUUAAAUCAUAGAUUCUAUUUCUUUUUUGAAGGAUAUAAGAGCAAAAUUGUCAAAUUAAACUUAUUAAGCAUUCAACUAUAAAUAUUUAUCAAAUAGUAUAAAUAGAUUUAGUAUUAAAAUUCAGACAUUUAUAUAUUUUUUUCGGUGCUUAAAAUUCAGUAAAUUAAUUAUUUCAGUAUUCAGAUUUCAGAAUUCAGAAUUCAGUUUUAUCAAACGGAACCAAAGACAAAUGAACUGCUGAAUUCGAAAAUCUGCAGUGUUGAAGGGGUGAAUAGAAUUAUUCGACCAAGAAAAUGACAAUGCCUUGCGAUUAAGGCUCUUGAGGAGGCUAUAGUUGGGUAGAAAGAACUGGAAAAAAGAAAAGUGGUCGGUGAUGGUCUAACUUUUGGACUCACUCUGUCCAUUUGAAGGAGUCAAGAGAACUAGAUGUUAUUGACUGGUUUGAUCCCUUCUUGCUGAAAAUUUCAACUCCAAGAUUGUUCUUCUAAGUUCUAAAUGGCAUCCCUAUAUUGCUACAUUUAUUGUAAACUUCAAACUGUCACUAUUAGACUCAUAUCAGUGCCAUUGAAACUUUUUCCAGAAUGAUUUUUCAUGUUCCCUGAGAUCAACCCACAUUAUCAGGGAUUCCAAAACCAAAACAAUAUUUUAAAAUACGAUAACAAAACAGCCCACUAGAAUGAAGUCCCUUCCCAAGUAUAGAAUUCUUUCGCUCUAUACAGGGCUUAAAUUUUAAUCGUUGCAACAGCAAAAUGUAGAGAAAAUUAGAACAUGAGGUAGACCAUAAGAAACUUCGAACAUUUCUACUAAAGAUUACAGAAUUGUGAUACCAGUAGCUCACAAAAUUCAUAGCAGGGUUUCGCAGUUCCACUAACAAGGUACUUUCCCCAAACCCCAGGGGCAAAAAAAAAAAUUUCUUAAACUACUUGUUAAAUCCUAGGCAACACUAAAUGUCUUCCAGUAAGUCAUCUUAUUUAACAUGUACUUAAAAAUGCUAUUUCUGCAUAGUC